This 483-nucleotide ribosomal RNA is filed under the name uncultured bacterium. RNAcentral's name for it is "partial 16S ribosomal RNA". It matches the Rfam family "Bacterial small subunit ribosomal RNA", at positions 30 to 507 of the family's 1533-position model. The record is from RNAcentral.
AUUGAACGCUGGCGGCAGGCCUAACACAUGCAAGUCUAGCGGAUGAAGGGAGCUUGCUCCUGGAUUCAGCGGCGGACGGGUGAGUAAUGCCUAGGAAUCUGCCUGGUAGUGGGGGAUAACGUCCGGAAACGGGCGCUAAUACCGCAUACGUCCUGAGGGAGAAAGUGGGGAUCUUCGGACCUCACGCUAUCAGAUGAGCCUAGGUCGGAUUAGCUAGUUGGUGGGGUAAAGGCCUACCAAGGCGACGAUCCGUAACUGGUCUGAGAGGAUGAUCAGUCACACUGGAACUGAGACACGGUCCAGACUCCUACGGGAGGCAGCAGUGGGGAAUAUUGGACAAUGGGCGAAAGCCUGAUCCAGCCAUGCCGCGUGUGUGAAGAAGGUCUUCGGAUUGUAAAGCACUUUAAGUUGGGAGGAAGGGCAGUAAGUUAAUACCUUGCUGUUUUGACGUUACCAACAGAAUAAGCACCGGCUAACUUCGUG